RNAcentral lists this ribosomal RNA (635 nucleotides) under Ophropyx sp. NLG-2014. RNAcentral's name for it is "eukaryotic LSU rRNA". It matches the Rfam family "Eukaryotic large subunit ribosomal RNA", at positions 671 to 1265 of the family's 3401-position model. The record is from RNAcentral. Lineage: Eukaryota; Metazoa; Arthropoda; Insecta; Coleoptera; Scarabaeidae.
GAGUCUAGCAUGUGCGCGAGUCAUUGGGACUCUUAAAACCUAAAGGCGCAAUGAAAGUGAAGGUCCGCCUAGCGCGGACCGAGGGAGGAUGGGUGGUCCCGCGGGACCGCCUCGCACUCCCGGGGCGUCUCGUUCUCAUCGCGAGAAGAGGCGCACCCAGAGCGUACACGCUGGGACCCGAAAGAUGGUGAACUAUGCCUGGUCAGGACGAAGUCAGGGGAAACCCUGAUGGAGGUCCGUAGCGAUUCUGACGUGCAAAUCGAUCGUCGGAACUGGGUAUAGGGGCGAAAGACUAAUCGAACCAUCUAGUAGCUGGUUCCCUCCGAAGUUUCCCUCAGGAUAGCUGGCGCUCGCAUCUCGCGAGUCUCAUUCGGUAAAGCGAAUGAUUAGAGGCAUUGGGGUCGAAACGGCCUCAACCUAUUCUCAAACUUUAAAUGGGUGAGAUCUCCGGCUUGCUUGAACUGUGAAGCCGCGAGAUAUCGGAUCAGAGUGCCAAGUGGGCCACUUUUGGUAAGCAGAACUGGCGCUGUGGGAUGAACCAAACGCAGAGUUAAAGCGCCUAAAUCGACGCUUAUGGGAUACCAUGAAAGGCGUUGGUAACUUAAGACAGCAGGACGGUGGCCAUGGAAGUCGGA